UAUUAAAAUUAGGCGUCUCUA
RNAcentral lists this non-coding RNA (21 nucleotides) under Caenorhabditis elegans. The record is from RNAcentral. Lineage: Eukaryota; Metazoa; Nematoda; Chromadorea; Rhabditida; Rhabditidae.